AAUUGAAAGAUGCAUUCACAGUUAUUUAUGCACACAAGAAUAACUCAUGGCUUUUAUCAGUGUGCUGGUUCGAAGUUGGCAGCCGAGGCACAAAUAAACUGUUCUGGAUUUACAGGAACUGCUAUUGAAAUCUGCACAAACCACAUGAAAACCUAUACAAACCAUUUCCUGGAAGGACUGUUCAGAUAACUGAGCCAGUUAAGUUUCUACACUUCAUUGAACUGAAAAUAAAGCAUCACUGAACUGAACUGAAAGAAUCUCUUUUCAUUACAACUGAGAAAUACAACUGGUUUUCUUCCACAAUGGGGUAGUCUCAUAGCUUUUAGUAUCCAACAAAGCUUUGCCAAAGACUGAGUACUGAUAAAUAAAGACACUAUCAACUUCACUGAACAAAGACAUACUAUAGUACAGAAGAUGCACAAAGCCAAAACUGUUCAUAAGUCAACUGAACUCAUAAGUCAUAACUAAUAUAAACCAGCUGUGAAUAAACCAGCUGUCUACUGGAAAUGGCAAGUGUUUACAAAAUCCUUUAACUAAUAACUCAUAAUUGAACUGCCUGAACAUGGCAAGUGUAUGUUUACAAAAACCUACACUGCACUCUCACCACUAGCCGUCUCGCCUACACUAGCACUCAUCGCCUUGACAAUCUUCGCCCUCUUCGCCUUGACAUAUGCCCUUUGAUCAUCAUCCAUGGUGGUCACAUCACAAAACAUGAUCUUUUGUUGCUGCUCCCACUGCAGUCGCUCCUCAUCCAUCCGAAGCCUACGCUGCUCAACCAUCAUAUCCUUCUCCCAACUUUCUUUUUUCAUCAUAUGUUCCUCGGCCUUUAUUACCAUCAGUUUUUGCAUCAUUUCCUUGUACUCGUCAUCUCCUUCAUUGUUUUUCAGCUUCUCUUUGGAUUGCUUUCUACCUGGAGGUCGGGCUUUCUUAGCUGAAGGGAGUGAGGAGCUCUGUUGGCCUUGGGUGGUUGAGUCAUCGUCCUCUUGUUCACUUCUUACCGGGAGGUUGACCUCUCUGGACUUGGCUGGCCCCUUGUUGCCUUGAAGCGUUGAUUCAAACUUCUGAGUGUGCCUCAAUGUGAGCCAGCAAUGUUCGAAUUGACAAUUUUUGCCGUUGGAUUUUCUGGCAUACCUUGCUUGGGCUUCAAGCAGCUGCAACAAAGAUCAAGUGCAUGAUAAGAUAUAUAGCAAUGACAAGA
Molecule: long non-coding RNA, 1198 nt
Filed under: Sorghum bicolor (sorghum)
Lineage: Eukaryota; Viridiplantae; Streptophyta; Magnoliopsida; Poales; Poaceae
Description: long non-coding RNA (SBIC_LNC018189)
Source: RNAcentral